This 761-nucleotide ribosomal RNA is filed under the name Pseudomonas sp. LL4. RNAcentral describes it as "bacterial SSU rRNA". It matches the Rfam family "Bacterial small subunit ribosomal RNA", at positions 33 to 787 of the family's 1533-position model. The record is from RNAcentral. Lineage: Bacteria; Pseudomonadati; Pseudomonadota; Gammaproteobacteria; Pseudomonadales; Pseudomonadaceae.
UCGACUGGCGGCAGGCCUAACACAUGCAAGUCGAGCGGCAGCACGGGUACUUGUACCUGGUGGCGAGCGGCGGACGGGUGAGUAAUGCCUAGGAAUCUGCCUGGUAGUGGGGGAUAACGCUCGGAAACGGACGCUAAUACCGCAUACGUCCUACGGGAGAAAGCAGGGGACCUUCGGGCCUUGCGCUAUCAGAUGAGCCUAGGUCGGAUUAGCUAGUUGGUGAGGUAAUGGCUCACCAAGGCGACGAUCCGUAACUGGUCUGAGAGGAUGAUCAGUCACACUGGAACUGAGACACGGUCCAGACUCCUACGGGAGGCAGCAGUGGGGAAUAUUGGACAAUGGGCGAAAGCCUGAUCCAGCCAUGCCGCGUGUGUGAAGAAGGUUUCGGAUUGUAAAGCACUUUAAGUUGGGAGGAAGGGCAGUUACCUAAUACGUAUCUGUUUUGACGUUACCGACAGAAUAAGCACCGGCUAACUCUGUGCCAGCAGCCGCGGUAAUACAGAGGGUGCAAGCGUUAAUCGGAAUUACUGGGCGUAAAGCGCGCGUAGGUGGUUUGUUAAGUUGAAUGUGAAAUCCCCGGGCUCAACCUGGGAACUGCAUCCAAAACUGGCAAGCUAGAGUAUGGUAGAGGGUGGUGGAAUUUCCUGUGUAGCGGUGAAAUGCGUAGAUAUAGGAAGGAACACCAGUGGCGAAGGCGACCACCUGGACUGAUACUGACACUGAGGUGCGAAAGCGUGGGGAGCAAACAGGAUUAGAUACCC